Molecule: long non-coding RNA, 161 nt
Organism: Sphaeramia orbicularis (orbiculate cardinalfish)
Lineage: Eukaryota; Metazoa; Chordata; Actinopteri; Kurtiformes; Apogonidae
Exons: 4
Source: RefSeq, a predicted model, not a curated record
ACAAAUCAACUCAAAUAACUCAAAUGACAAGCCAAGACCCAAAUUAAUAACAGUUAAACUUUUCAAAUGUAUUGAAUAAAACAAUGGUGUGUUUUGAACCUGAGACAAUACAGAAUAUCACAGUAAGAAAACAGAGAAGACAAGUUUAAUGAAAAACCUAA